UACAGAGGUGGCAAGCGUUGCUCGGUAUCACUGGGCUUAAAGGGCGCGUAGGCGGUGCGGUGCGGUUUCGGUGAAAUCCCUCGGCCCAACCGAGGAACAGCCGGGGCUACGGCCGCGCUAGACGGCAUCAGGGGACAGUGGAACUCCCGGUGGAGCGGUGAAAUGCGUAGAUAUCAGGAGGAACACCGGUGGCGAAGGCGGGUCUCUGGGCAGUAACUGACGCUGAGGAGCGAAAGCGUGGGGAGCGAACAGG
Molecule: ribosomal RNA, 253 nt
Filed under: uncultured bacterium
Lineage: Bacteria
Description: partial 16S ribosomal RNA
Rfam family: Bacterial small subunit ribosomal RNA
Source: RNAcentral